This is a non-coding RNA of Meleagris gallopavo (turkey), 18372 nucleotides long. Lineage: Eukaryota; Metazoa; Chordata; Aves; Galliformes; Phasianidae. The record is from RefSeq and is a predicted model, not a curated record.
UUUUUUUGUAUUACUGCAGAACCUUUUGUUGGUUUAAAAAUCUUGGUUGGUUUAAAUCUUGCGAAAGUAGAAUUUUACUCCUUUGCUCGAUAACAAGUCUCUCCAAUACUUUAAUUUUAUAUGUGUAUAUAUACAUAUGCAUACGUCACAGAAUCAUAGAAUCAUAGAACCAUAGGAGUUGAGAGGGACCUCUGGGGAUCAUCUAGCCCAACUUCCCUGUUAAGGCAGGCUUCCUAUAGUAGAUUACAUAGAUGGAGACUCCAUAACCUCUCUGGGCAGCCUGUUCCAGUGCUCUGUCACCCUCACAGUAAAUACAUAUAUAUAAAACAUACUUUAUGUGCUUAUAUAUGUUUUGCUUAUGUAUCUAUUGCAGUAGGAUUGAAAAUGCAGCGAUCACUGUCCAAUAAUGGAAGAAGAGCCUGGUCUUGCCCACUGAACACUUGAUGAAUGUUUUCGGCUAACUUAAGAAAUGAAGUUAUUUUCUACAGUUAGCUUGUCUUUAUUCUUAUCAAAACUGUGGGUUUUUCCAGUGUCAGGACACUUGAUGGGCGGAUACUUCUUAGGAGAAUAGAGGACUUAUCAGUGUUUGCUUAGGAUCUAUUACAUUCUUAGCCAUAAAAGUAGCUGUGCUGUCUAUAGCACCCAUAAAUCUUAACCUAGUCAAGGCUACUGUCUCUUUCUUCAUAUGAAUUUGCUUUUAAAACCAUGGGCAUAAACCAGUUGCAAAUACCUGAUUUCUUUUUUGAGAAUUGGUAACAGAAUUCAGUUUGCAAAACUGUCAAAAUUACUUAUCAGCUCUGCCACAGAUUUGUUCUCUUUGCCCUUUUAAUGAAAUAAUAUUCCUUAGGCACAUAAUCACCAGAGGGCACUCUUACACAUAUUCUUACAUAUGAUUCUUUGGGUGAAGUAGGUGAAAGUAAGUCUUGGAAUAAAUGGUAUAUUAGUUUUGAUGUACACUUCUCAUAGGGAAACUGCUGCUGACAAGGUAGUUCCAACUCUGCUUUAAUUUCUUUGUAUGGAUAAAGUACAUUCUUCUUGUUGAGAAGUGGCCAUUGCUAUCAUUGCUGACAUUUCUUUGAGCUCUUAUUUGUUUGAAUUAGCUAAUUUAUGUCGAGCUCCAUAUAACUUCCAAGAAAUGAAUCUAAAAAGCUCUGAACUUGCGGAUUUCCACCAAAGCCACUGGAAGUAGCAGAAGAGCAAUAAUAUUUCUGUUCUCUUUAUUUAUUUUUAGAUGAAAAGAUUGAACAAGUAACGUCAAAUAAAAUCAGUAAAUCAGCUUUAGAUAGUUAUUAUGUCUGCUGUUUAUUACUUAAAAAGUAUAUACUCAGGCACUGUGGCAACAGUAUAAUUGCGGAUGAAGUCUUUAUAUGUAUACAGUUACAAAAUUUGUAUUUCUAUUUGGUAAAUAAAGAUAGAUAAGAAAAUUAUGAUGAAAAUACUUCAGGCUAUGUUUUGUUUGGAAAUAGGCUACUUUUGCUAGUUUUCUUAUGGCAAACCUUACUCCAAUGCCUUUUGGGCCUGAUCACGUACUUUGAGACUUCUUAUUUGUAUUUUUCAUAGCCAAAGAUUUUUUUUGGUUUCUCUAGGAUACGUUUGGUUUUCUGUGUGUGUAUUUUCACUUCUCUUUGUUUUAGUAUUUCUGACACCAUCAAAAUGAAACAAGACGUGCCCUAUAAAAAUGGACCCUCCUGAAUAAAUGAACAUUACCAGUAGUUAAGGCUUAGACGUGUUUCUAGUCUUUUAUUGACCAUGCUCCAGCAUCUAUUAUCUGUGAAUGUCAAUGGCUUUUUGUUCAUAGAGUGGAUUUCUCAUUUUUAAAGAAGUUCCUUAUCGCUGAUUUGGUUGUUAGCGGUUGCAAAGAGAGCUGCCAUCUAGAGCCCAAGCUGGCCACACUGACUUCUGUGCUCCCAGCGGCGAGGAGGCUGGCUCCAUUGUCCAUAGGGAAUGUCAGCAGUAGGAGCUGGAAAUCCACUGUUCUUGCUCUAUCUUAAGGAUGUUUUCUGUUUCACCUCUUUUAGAUUUUUCCACAGGAGGUUGUCAUGAACUAUCAUGAUAAAAAUGGUUAUUCUAGUACACCGUUCACAAGUAGAUAUUUUAAGUUGUUAUUAUUUCAAUGAUCUUUUUACAGAAUGAUUUGUAUUUACUGAUCUGUCUCACUAUCCUAUGUUUGUUAUGCCUUUGCAUCAAAAUACCAGAAUGUCACAUCUGGCCUCUUCAUGUUUUGUGCUCCUUGCCUUCUUCUCUCAGGACUGCCCAUCCUGAGAGCAAACAACUGUCAUAGCUCCUGCUCUGUCCUGGUGAGAAGGAAGCAAGGAUCCACUGCCUUUCUAGGCUUUAUCCCAGUGCAGUUUGUUUCACCAGGGCUUCUUGAAAGGCCUUGAUUCACAAGGUAGUGAAGUUUUUUGCAGUUGCAAAUCUAUUGCAACUGCCUCCAUAGUGCAUCCAAAUCAAUGAGUAUUGGAUGUGGAUCUUGUAAGCCAGUUAGAAAGAUGUAAGAGGAUUUGCAAAGGUACCCUUUACAUGUCAUUUUGGUGUCAGUCAGGAUGGCAGCCAUGACAGUGAUACUGGGCAGGUUUUUGUAACUACUUCAAAAGCUUUGGGUAAGGAGCAGGAUAAUUGGGAGCAUGACACUUGAGUUCUAUUCUCCACAAACUGCCCUAGAAAAGAUAAUAGAACAGAUGUGUUAAAACAGUCAGACACUACUGAUUCCAUGGGACUUCUGAGUAUGUCACUUUCUUUUCUAUUAAGUGUUUUGUAAUUUUUUGCUGAUUUUUUUUUUUCCUGCAAGCCCAUUUGAUUAUACUUAGUGCAGCCUUGAUGCAGUUCACUUGAAUUGCCGUAUCAGUGAGAUUUGCUAAAAUAAGUCACACAUGAAUUGUAGGCCAUUAUCUAUCAUUAACUCAUCUAGAAUUUCAUGGUGAACUAAGUGCUAUGUAUAAUGUGUUUCUCAAUUGCUACUGGCUAUGUUGUCUUAGUGUAGCAGAAUGUGACUGAUACACAGUUGUAUGCAGUUCAGAUAGAUGGAAACCAAUUUUAAAAAAAAAGCCUUAGUUCAUAAUUGAAAACAUUUUACAUUAUUUCAGUUAUUUCAAUUGAUGUGUAAACAUUAAAAUUAAAAUUUAUCAUAUAUAUGUUUUAGACUUAUUAGUUGAAUACAUUUCUCAUUAAAUUCGUAUCUGUGCAGAAGAAGAACAAAGAAAAGCAAACUUGAGCUCUUUUAUUCAGGAUAUAUUUAUUAAACUUAAAAAAAAAAAAACAUUUUUGAAGAUAAGCAGUUGUUUGUAUUUUAAAAGAACAUAUUUCAUAAAACAGAUUUCAUUUACACCUGAAACUGAGCUCUAUGAUUUGCCCACAAGCAUGUAUGAUUGCUGUAAUCAUUUACUGUUAAUUGACAGCUGAUGAGCUCAAGACAACAAUGGAGUAGCAAAAGCAAACUUUUGCCAUCGUACUUCUCUAUGGAGUACUUAGGAUUAUGGUCAGGUUUUCAAAAGGGUUUAUGCAUCGAAAGAUUCUAACGGGCAUGUAGUGAAAUACACCAUCCCUAUCGUAAGCUGUGUCUGUAAACUGAACUUCCAGACUGACAGCAAAAAGUAACAGGACAAAACUACCAUAAAAAUAAUGGUUCACAGUUCUCUUUCACGUUUAACGCUAUAUUACACUGAGCACUGCAGCUGUGUGUGUGUGUGUGUGUGUGUGUGUGUGUGUGUGUGAAGUCACUGUGCAAGAUUCUUGCUCUUUUUCACCCUCUUCUGAGCGUUAGCAAUCUCAUCCUUCUCUCAUUCAGUAUUUCAGCUGAAAGUUACACAUUUUAACUUGCUGGUUCCUGGAAGGAUGAGGUCAGCCAUUACCAAGAGCCAUGGGUUUUCCUGCAGUGCAUAUAUAAAUACAUCUCACGGUGCCUGAAUAUUACUGAGAAAUCUCUGUGUAUCUUUUUUAUGGGGCUACUCAAUCUUCUGCUGGUCUGUUGUUUGCGUAUGCUUCUCACGUCGGUUUGUUCAAUGCUGUUUUGCUGAGAAGAUGACUUUCCAGUGGGACUGAAAUCUCUGUCCUUGUCUGCUUCUUUACUGUUGAGAACUGCCUGGGACAGAAUGUUCUCUGGGGGAAGAACACUGCUAGACUGGUAUAUUGCAGUCUUUUUAUAUCUAUUCAUCUAAUUUCACCUAAUUUUAUGUAAUUUCCUGUAGACUUGCUAAGGCUUUGCACAAUGUUUUCUAUACUAUGUCUAGUUAAUGGAACAUUUCAAGUAAAAUCAGUGGUUGCCUAUAAACAUUAAUAAAUAUUUGUAUGACAUAAAACAAUUGCAGACAUAAGGGCAUUAAAAAUUGAAAAAAAAAUUAUUUUCUUGGUCUGAAUAAAAUUUAACUAUUCUCCAUCAGUCAUGCCAUCGAGCCAUUAUCUGAAGAUCAUUCUUACACUCAUGCGAGCUUCUAUUUCUAGAUGUACUUUUAGACUCAAUUGACUUUUCUAAUUGCACUUUCUAACAUUUUUCCUCACCGUCUUUUUUAAAAUAAAUACCCUGGUUCAUUUUCUUUAUGUAAAACUGAAAAAACCUGUGUCCUUUGUCCCUCAGUACCUUCUAGAAGAUAAUGCAUAUUGCUAAUGUUGCAGAUGUAGUGCUGCUUUGUAAUAAUUUGUACGCUUUGUGUGUGGAUUUGGUUACUGAUUGGUAUACUUUAUGACUACUUUCAGUUAAAUAUUGGAAGUUUAUUGUGUGAAAAUGUUUGUUUAGCUUAGUACAGGCAUGUUGGAAAAUCAAGAAGAGUGGCUUGAGAAAAGUCGAACACAGCUUUUGCUACAAGCAGUACCAUUCACUUUUGCAUGCUUCUGACCUGCAGUGGUUUCACUGAUGAACUCGUCAAAGUGUUACCUACAGGUGAGGAUGGAAACACAGAUCAGGAAGUCAGCUUACCCUCAUCUGUAUAUGGAGAACUGAAUCUUUCGUACUCUGUUGUUUUGUGCUUGAAUAAAAAUGAUGACUGUUUGGAGACACAACUGUAUGAAUGAUCCUGAAAGCCACAUAAAUAUCUGUGGCAUUGGAGAAAUUGGUGGUUCGUUAGUGGAAGGUGUGCAACGCAUUAAGACUUUUACUGGUAUGGUAUAUUAUCAAUUAUGUGCAAUCAAUACAUUGUUCUACCAAGGCUGUGCAUACUACUUUUGAGGCAACUGCUCCUUCAUUAUACAGUACUUCUCCAACUGUCCAGGUUCUCUUAUGCCCUGGCUAAGGUAACCAGAAGACCAGAGAACCACUAGCUUCUUUAUUUUGCAAGUCCAAAAAGUAUUGCCCCUGAAGAUCUAGUCCUGAAAGGUUAUGAUUUUUUAUACUGAUUUUAUCAGAUGUUUUUCAGUUCUGGGCUUUAAAUGUACAACAUUAAAAAUAUAUUUUUCCCUUUUCUACCUUAUUAAAAGAAUUCUAUUGUGAUCUCUCUCUCUCCAUAAUCCUUGUUCUUCCCUACCCAGCAGCAACUUACAUGUUUUGAAUUCAGUUCCACUUGCUUCAUCAAGAUGAUUUUUUGCACAUUUUUCUUGUUUAAUUAUAUAACAUUUCUUUUGCUCAAUUUGUGCAAACAUCCUUUGGACUUGUUACAGUUUGAUUUUCUGUCAAGGAUGGUUGAAAAGAAGAGAAAAUGAUAUUCAGAGAAAAUAGUGCUAAAAUGUAACUUAUUUACAAUUCCAAUAACAACUUCGUGGUUUGAACAUGUUAGUUAAGAGCGUUUCAUUCAAGUGUACAUUACCACACAACUUGCUAAACAUGUCUGAGAAUAAAGCUACUCCAGACUGGGCAAAUUAGAUGGAUAACAUCAUUUGUGUAUCAGCUGCAGUCAGUAUAGUUCAGUUAAUUGUUUAUCACACUAAGGUUAACGUUCUGUCGUUUAUAUUUGCUUAAUUCAUAAUUGGAAUAUCACACUUGAUAUUGCUCAGUAACUACUUAAAAAAAAAAAGUAACAAUGCAAAUGUUGAGCAACAUAAAACUAGAAGAGAUCUUCUGAGCCAUCAAUUUGGCUGAUAUCAUCAAUAAUAACAUUCAUAAAUCUGUCUCUUAAAACCAGUUGAGUCCCUUGCCUCUGCUAUGUAACUGAAAGUUUGUCACAGCGCACUAGUCCUUCCACAUUUAGAAUCUUUCCAUUUGUUAAACUAAAAUUUAUUCCUUUAUUCUUAUGACAGUACUGUUUCAUUAUCUACUUUUUUUCUCCUAUACUCAUCAUACAUCAUUUAUUUGUAGAAAACACUCCCUAUGUAAACGUUGUUUACUUCCCAGAGAUGGGUAAACCAACUCCUCUCAGUCCUCUUCUGCAUUAUCUACAUUCUCUUCCCUUGAACAUGGCUGGCAAGCCAUUAGUGCUCCUUAGUUUCAGCUGUAAUGACAGCUUUUAAACCCUUUCCCCCAUGUAGAUAGAAGCAGAAAUACUGUGUAGACUGGUGUGAAUGACAGCAGGAGGUGUAGAUGAGUUCUGCUCCCUCUAUGGAAUGUGUUCAGAAGUACUGGUUGACAGUUGACUUCUUCUGGCUAAGUGAACAGAUGCUCCAGUGUUUCAGUUACAACUUUUUGAGACAGCUAAGCCAAUCUUUUCGUGGAAGAUAUUUCUCUUAAAAUUAUAGUAUACUGUAGUAAUUUAGCCUGAAAAGGUAAUGUGAUUUGUAAUAACAGGACAAAUCUUCUACUGGUGGAAGAAUGGGGGGUCUAGCUGUGUAGCAACUCUUGGAAAAGAUCCAAAGGGACCAUAGCAGACAGGAUGUCAAGCAUGAGCUAGCCAUGUGUUCCUGGAGCAGAGAGGGCCAACAGCAUCCUGGGCUGUUACAAGGAUAUGAUUUCCAGCAGGAUCAAAGACAGUGAUAUUUUUCUCCCUUUAUUCAUCACGUUAGACAGCAUUACUUAGUUCACUUUAGUAUCACUUCUUUCUUGGUUAUAUUUUAUAUUCAGAUCCCCUUCAGGAAAUAACAUCAAGCUAGGAUUUUAUUGUUUUUAAAUUUCAUUUUUAUUAAUCCUUGUCUUCAAAAAAAUACAACAAUCUGCUACAGUGGUAUUUCAGUCAAAUUAAUUAUCUUCAAAUCGUAAGUUAUGAAAAAAGCUGGUCCUGUUUCACCUGUAUGUUUUUUGUAGGCAGACAAAUGAAAAGUAUUUCACGUAUAUGAAGAAAAACUUUAGUUACCAAAGUCUGUGUCUUCAUGUCUUUUUUUGAUUCAGUGAUUCUGAAAACUUCUGGGUUCUGGAAUAAGUAUUUCAGCCACAUUUCCUAGGAAUUGUUGGAUUUCUGAUUUUUUUUUUUUUUAACUGUGUUUCUAAGGCAACAAUGCUGCAGUUUUAUUUAUUUAUUUGCUUUUCCCAAGUGAGGUAUGCAGGUCAUAUUAGAUAAGCCACAUCAAAAUACUUUCUUAGAUUUUCAAUUAGGAAAAACUUACCGUGUUUCCUAUCCCUAACAUUUAUUAUAUGUCCAAAAAAUUAUAAAGAAGGUGCACCAUUUCAGUUGUACUUACAUAGAGACCCAGGCAAGGCCAAAUUUUAACAGGAGACCACAUUUCAUAUUAGAACAAGCAGCAUAUCCUCUUCAAACUGCAAAUAUUUCUGUCUCCUCUGGUACAGCAGUUCUGUUGCUGCUAGGUAUAACAGUCAGUCUACUAUAACAAUGCCUACAAGUCUAAAGCUUACAUUACCUAAAAAAAGAGUAUCUUGUCACCCUAUUUCUCCCACUCACCUGCAGAAUUUGAAGUUUUUCAAAUAAUUAAUUUGUUUUAUAUGUAAUAAAACCUUACCAUAAAUGGUUGGAUAUGCCCAUUAAUGACCUUUUUGUCAUCUGUCUAGUUUAAGUCAUCUUAGUUGGCUUACACACCAACUCUUCUGACUCAGCCUUCCUGAUACUUAAACAAAUUUGUUCUGUGGUUCAUUCUGAUAAGGAGAUACUUUUCUAGGGGGCUUUUGCUUACUUUACAAGUUGAAAGACUGACUUCUCGCAGGAAGUUACUUUUACCAUGCUCCCAAAUCAGAUAGGGGUAUUCAAAUACUAAUGCGUUUUAAAUGCUGAUGUAUUUACAGAACUUAAUGAUCAAGUGAGCUGUUACCUUGGAUAUUUUCUCACAUGUGUAAUUAAAGCAAUAUUAUUACCUGGAUAAUGAAUCAUUUUUAGAUAGGGAAGGUUGCCAGGGCAUUUAAUCAGUAAAAACUACAGUUUAUAGCAGCUUUUUUCUGUUGAAUCAGAGGAAAAGUUGUAUAUAUUUACAACAUUGUUUUGAAAAAUCACCAAAAUAUUGGAGUGCAGCAAUUUUUGUGUGAUUGUCCUGAGAUACAGUUAAUAGAUCUGCUGUGAUUUCUCCUUUUAUUCAACAGUUUUAAUAAGGCAGCUUAACCUGUCAUGGAAAGCUGUUCCUGUACUGCUCUUGACUAUAGUGUACCUGCAGGAUGGGGAACUGACAUGUGUCCACUGCAUGUUUUGUAUUUCUGAUUCCCAGAAGCGAAGGAAGAACUGACUAGGCUCUUAGCUUCUCCUCUGAAGGAAACUAUAGAAGAAAGAGUAGCCGUCCCCGGAGGUAUUUCUAGUGGAGUCAAUAUCUCUAACAGUAUUUAAGAGAUACGUGUAUGUCAUGUUAAGGUGUGUAGACUAGUGGUAGCCUUGGUAAUGUUAGGUUAAUGGUAAGACUUAAUGAUCUUGAGGGUCAUUUGCAACCUAAAUCAUUAUAUGGUUCUAUACAUCCAUAUCCUACAGUUGCAGGGAAUUUGAAUACAUAUCCACAAUUGGAACUUCCAUGCAGUAGAGAUGUUCUGCACUUAGGGAAACUCAUCAUUUUUUUGUCUCUUUCUGUUAUGAGGAAUGUUCUUCACCUAGAUUAUUUUUGGAUUUCAAUACAUGUAGCCCCAUUCUUACCAUGCAGAGUUACGUGGGUAUAGUGCUCAUCAUUUUAAGACUGCGCACAUGGCCAUGUGUGUUAGGUUGGCUGAAUCUGUUGCUAAAGCUCAGGUAUUCUGAAACAUUUUAUAAGGUGAAGCAAACAUCCACUAUAUGUAGUAGGAUCACAACAGUACUUGAAUUUGUUUUAAAUUUGAUAAAGGAUAUUAUUUCCCUUGGAUUUGUGUAACUCGUAGCAGGUAGGACAAAUGAUAUACUUGCAGUUUUGAGAAAGUAUUCAGGUGAAUGAAGUUGAAAGUAGGUCUCUAUCCAGGGUCUCCACCUUUUCUGACUUUUAGGAUUCACCAGUGGGCAUUUUGAAGGAUGACACAAUUCAACUCAAAGUCAAAGAUAUGUUUGAUGAUUCUUUUUAGACGUGCUUUUUUCUUUCAUCAGACACAAAGACAAUUAGAAUUCUAGUGUGCAUACAGAUGACUAUGUUGUAGGCACAUGGACUCAAGUGUCAUAAGCACUAUAAGCUCUCCUCUGCUCCAAUUCGCUGUUCAUAAAAAGAGGAAUAUGCUUUUACCCUCUCAUAGAUACAGAAAUAAAUUUACUCACUACAAGAUUCUUGGAUAAAGUGAUGAGGCAUACAUACACGAGUAACUCAAAAUAACUAUAUGACCGCAUGAAUAUUGCGUAUGUCCAGAAAACCUGCCCUGGCACAGAGGUUAUCUAUAAUAUUUAAUGUAGAAUUGAUCAUGCAACUUACAUUAUUAUAGCUACACAUAACUAUUUGGAUUGAAUCUUAAUGAUUGCAUUGUGAUUUUGGUCAUAAGUGCACCUAUGACUGUUUCUCAAAACUUCCUCUUACAUAGACUUAAGAUUAAGCCCAAGUACAACUUUGCAGUAUUGCUUCCCUCAUAGUUUCCAUGCCAGCAAUUUUUUCCUGCUCAGCUUGAUCAGUGUUCUGGCUUUUUUCUUCUAACAGAUAAGUCCAUUUUAGCUCUCAUAAGAUUAAUCAUCAGUUUUUUAAAAGGGACUUUUGAUAAUUUUGAACUUAUUAAAAUUACUGUCAAAAAUCUGUUCAGAAUGGAUUUAUUUGUAUCUUUCAGAAGUCACUGGAGUUAAUGUUUUAUCCCUACCUGGGAACACACCUAGCAUUAAUUUCCUUCUGCAGACAAUUCUCUUUUAUGUGAGUUGGGAUAUGAAUUUAUUGCAUGCACAGCAAAGAUGCUUCUGCCCAUAAACAAAUCAACUCUCCAGGACCUUCAUAAUUCUUAGAAAAGCUCUGUUUGUAUUUUCAAGGAGAUACUGUCAUCAUUUUGUAUUUGCUGGAAUAAUGGCUUUGUUCUCUUAAGGAAAAUAAUGUAAUAAUUUGAAUAUGAAAUUUCUUGGCUUCUGACCAAGUGAAAUGGUUUCAUUGGCCCAAUUUAGGAAUAUUAGAAGCUUUGGAUUAUUGGUUCUGAUAUAGUUUAGAAGCUAGAUUUUUAGUAGUACUCAAUCCCUUCAUAUAUUACUGUUCUCAGAGGAAAAAGUAUCCCUUUGAAAGCCAGGAUAUUUUACAUGCAUGCUUCCCCAGGAUAUGAGAUGUUCUGAAAAUCUUCAUGCUUAUUACUGCAUACAGUUGAGUUCUUUUAAUACUUGAAAAGACUGGUCCAAAAUAUAAUUGCAAUAAAAUCUAUGCCCUAAUACUUUCCUCUCGUACAUUCCGGUAGUAUUUUGAAUUUUCUGUCUCUUUGCUGUACUUUCAGUUUAAACUCUUAGUUUUUAGCACACUCUGAACUUCACAUUAACUGAUUUUCGUGACAAUAAAAAUGAGAGAAGUUGUCAAGCCAAGCAUAACCAUGCCAGUAGCUUGGAAGAGUUAAGCUAAUUGUGUUGACACGGAGUUCUUUCUGCAGGAAUGUGAUGAGUCAGUUCGGACACUAGUUAAAAAUUUUAAUUUUAGAUAGAGUAACUGAAAAUAAUGGGACUUGUCUGACUAUUUAGUUAUUUAAGCAGUUUUUUUUUUACGUGGGACUAGGAGUUACACAGUCACUAACUUGGGCAGAAGUGUACUGAGUUCGUCCUGAAAAAUUAUGUAGAAUAUAUUACUCAUUCAGCAAGGGAUGGGAUUUAGAAGUUAGAAGACUUGCUAUAAUUAAUUCAUCACACAAAAGGAUUCUAAGCAAGAUUAAAAAAUAAACAAAAAUAACAGAACAAACUGUGUCCAAAUGGUGGUUAACCUUUUUUUAACUCUUCUAUUGUUUAUGACCAAGACAAGGGUGUUUAUCUGUGGAGUAAAAGGAAAACAUAUAUCAUUAUGUAGUAUUUCUCAAGAUAACAUGGAUAAAUUAUAAGCUAGCUAGCUGGCUAUAUAAAACAUUGUUUAUGAGUAAGUUUCAGUAAAAACCUGCCAAGGAAGCUUGUUAAGAAAUUACUAAUCACAUGAGGAUGAUUGAACAAGAACUUUUUAUCUUGCUUAUCACGAUGUUUUGGUUUUAUCUUAUGCCUGAACUCUUUCCUAUUUUCUUCUCAGUUCAUUCUGCUUUCCAAGACAAAUCUCUGAUUAAUUAUCCUGUGUAUCAGAAAAUAAUAAAAGUUAUCUGAUCUAAGCAACUAAUUAACAAGUCACUCUAGUCAUUUAAAUGUAACUCAGCAAGUCUUGCCUCAAAACUGUACACUACAGAAAUCCUUUAAGCCCUCUAAACUGGCAAAACUUCAAGGCUACUGUGAGUUUUCAGGAAUAAAAUGAACUGAAGAAUAUUCAGUUAAAACAGAAAUAUUAAAGUCUACCUAAUAGUAAUCCAAAUACCUAACAGUAAACUUUAUCUGAUGCUAUGUAAAAAGCAAAAGUAUCCUAUAUUUUUUUUGUAUGCUUCCCCCUAUAGAAAUGCACAAUAUCCAGAUAAGGCUAGCAAAUUUAUUGUUAAUCUGGCCACAAAGCAAGCACAGGAAUGGACUGAAGUGGAAAAGUACAGAUUUACUACUAGCUUAUGGAGAAAAUCUGCUCACAGACAGUAUAACACCAAGUAUUUAGGACUGAGACGUAUUUGAGCAAGAUGGAGAGCUUCCCCCUGCUAAAUACAUUUUUGAAGGCAUACUCGAUAAUAAUUCAGGAGCCAAUCCAACUGUUAGAAAAACAUUUAAUAAAAAUUCACAUGUGUAUGCAUAUGUGCAUGUAUACAUGUACAUUUUAUAUAAGCCAAGAUUUUAAAUUUGCUUUUGUCUGUCUGUAUUUGUCUCAAGGUCUACUGUGGCCAGAUGCCUCCUGGAGCUGCUAGAAAGGGGAAUGUGUGAAGACUGUGUCCUCAGUCUUUUAAAUCCUAAUUGCUAGUCUUCUAACCAGGAGUAUACUUCUCCCUUCUCCUGUAAAUCUUCCCAUAAAAAUGUCAUACUUCAAGAGGCACAGUCUUGACUUUGGGUUCUCCACCACCCAGACACACUGCUUUUCAUCAGUGCAAUUGCAUAGCUGCUAGUUGACAUUUCACGGUGGCCUGUAUGCAGUGGUGCAUGUGCCACCUAUAGACUAUGAGGUGGCUUUCUCUGGACAUUUCUGCUCUUAAGCAUUUGUUUUAUUUGGUGGAAGGCUAUCCAAAAUCCCUCCGCAAAGGUGAACACUGAGUGAUGUCAGAAGACAGUUUAUAAGUAUUAGCUGUUCACAUACAGUUAUUGUAGGAGCAAUCUAGCUCUCCUUAGUUGAAGAAAUUCAUUGUAAUAUGAAUAAGAAAGAGUGAAUAAUGAAAAUAAUGAGUGAAUAAUGAAGUGAAAUAAUGACAGUAGCAAAAAUGUCCCUGAUAACAGUAGUUAAUCAAAGGCUGGAGAUCACCACUGCAGGAGCAUCACACACAAGUACAAUGCUAGUUUUGACAGAAAGUAGCACAGCACAUUGGGAAAAUGCAGAAGAUAUUGUCUAAAUCACUGUUAUCUGUUCAGAAUAUGAGUGAAUCCAAUGCAAGAGUCAUCCUCAAAAAAUGCCUUGAUAUUAAAAAGAGAGCGACUAUCGAUUUGUGAUUUGAAAUAUUUUGUACUUUGCAAGUUGCUACCUAGGAAUCACACUGAUAUUCUGCAAGCUGAUGUAUGUGCAUGUGAGAAAUAAAAUUAGAUAAAACAGAUAACUUUGUUUACCUUGACCUUACAAAAUGGGUGUAAACAUCUUUCCUUUGCAUACGGCACCAUUAUAUUAGUGUUGCUAUGCUAAUAGCCUAUCUCCUCAAUGACAAUGUAGAAUAUAAAAUGAAUAAAUCAUGUAUCCUUUUAGAAUAAACUGCAGAGAUUGAAAUUUGGAAUAUGGAACAAGGAUCUGAAAAUGGGAUAUAUCCUCAGCUUGUGUAAAUUAACUUCAGAUGCUGUGGCGACUAUUUAUCAGGCUUCAAAUAUUUUACAGCUUUCAUAUUCCUUUGAUAUUUCCCCUUAAGUGCAGACAGGGCAGAGACCUCAGUGGCUGCAAGGUUAAAACUGUAAAUUGCACUUCAAAGAAUUUGGAGCGUUAAAUCUGCUACUCACCUUUGAAAUUCUGGUGUAGACUAGUCAUUGACAUCUUCAUAACUCCUGGGCAGUAUUUCCAGCAAAGCACUCUAAAUAAGCGUUUGACCAGUCAUAAGCCAUUCAUGUUCUUUGUUUUUUCUGUGUAUGCGGAUUCGUAGCUGUUGAAAUAGUGAUUGUGUUCUACUAGAUGGAUACUUUUUGAAGCCAAAAGCAUAAAUACAGUUAACACCUCACAGUAAUGAUCUGUUCCUGUUACUCUAAAAUGAAAAGAAAAAAAAGAAAAAGAAAACAACAAAACAAAACAAAACAAAAAACCUCAUCUCUUGUCAUCGCUUAUUAAAGGAAUCUGUAUUUUUGCUGUAUGAUGCUGUGGAGUUUAGUGUAAUGAAUAAUCAAAUGAAAAAAAGAGGCAGAUAUAGUAUGUGCAAGUAUCUUAAUUUUAUAGAAUGCCUCUGCCUAAGUGUCUAAAAAUGUGUGCAGUGCAAACAGGUUUAACCUAGAUUCCCAGAAAGAUUUGUACUUGCAUUUCAGUGGGCAUGAUUUGUUGCAGAUAGUCUUAUUACCCUGCCUAAUACUUGUGCCGCAGAAAUCUGCUGUUGAUUCUGUUUCUUACUUUACUUGUGUAGUGUUUUAUUUACUCACUAAACUUUCAGGGCAAAGUCAAAAUGAAGAUGCAAAAUGGAGAAACAUAAAAACAUCUAAGUGCUACAAAUUUAUUUGGUAAAUCAGAAUGCUGGUGCUGGGUAUAUAUUAAAUUGUUCCUUUGAUCAGCUUACUGGAAGUAGUAGUUGUGCUCUGCAUUUGCUCUCACGAUCCACAAUAUUUUCUGAAAAUUAUUUUAAUCAACUCAAAGACAACUUUGUCCUUGUUUGGAAUUGUGUUGUUCUUUAUGCAGGGUAGCGACAAUGUUACAGACUUGCUGUGAUCUUUUAGAUCUGCAGAGGACUGUAGGCAUGUUUCCAUUAUGAUAUUUACGUCUUAAGCACAAGAGGUAAUUUAUUUUCCAAAAUGUCUAAGAAUUGGGUAACACAGUUAGAUUUAUUACUCUUUUUUGGAUAUGAUUCACCUCUGACAUUUUUAUUUCUUAAAAAAAGCCAGUGAUCUCCAUCAUGAAAAAUAACACUGCAACAUUAUGAAUCUUUUAAUAUCAAACAUGCUCAUAAUUUUAUAUGUGAGCCACUGCUCAUGAUUCAUUUAUGAAAUGUUUUGGGGUGGGCAGUGUCAUAGCUGAUGCAGCCUUCCUGUGACAGUGCCCAUUGAGAGUGUGUUACGGGGACGGGGCACACAGUCUCAGCAGAAUAAGGAGUUGUGUCUUUAUAAGCCAAAGGUGAAAUUCCUCACUGACUUGAGGAAAUCUGCACAAACAGUUUCCUGUAUCAAGCUUUUGGCGGAUAAUCUCUCUAGUUUGGAGAUCUUUGGCCAUGUUGAUGGUUGCAAGGUGAUACUACGGCAUAAGUUCAUGUGAUUUCAUUAGGCAUGGUUAAUGUAGGCUGACUGUAUACUUCUAUGUGUCAGCAAAUGGCAGAAGAGACAUAUCAAAGUGUGUUUUGUUUAAGCAUAUUUAAUAAAUACUCCAAAUUAUUAACAUAAAUAGGAUACUUUUGGAGUAUGUCAAUUACAACUCUCCAUACUCAAAAAACAAAAAGAGAUACUGUGAUUCCUUAUGUGUAUUCCUCAUUCAGAACAUGUGAGAAACAAACAAGAAAACAACCCUUUAAAUAAAGACCUUGUUGUAAGUACCUAUAUUUCUUACUAAACUAGAGUAAUAAGGGAACAUAUCGCUACUUAUAAAAAAAAUUCAGUAUUGAUAGUAAUCUGAGAGCUGUUUUCAUUUUCAGGAAGACAUUUUAUGGAAAUAACCUUGAUUUUAUUAGCUUGUGUACUAUUUUAUAUCACAAUCAGAGAGAAUGAUUACAUUUAUUAUGGAGAACUGAACAAUUAACAGGGUUAAUAGUCCUAAAGAUAAGAUUGGAAUGCUUUCUGUAUGUGACUAUGAGAUCAGAUUUAAAGCAAAAAAAAAACAACAAAUCCACAACAAAACCACAUGAACAAGUACAUUGUAGUGCUGCUUUCUGUUUCUUCAGAGUUAGUGCAAAAUUAAUUUUGAAAAAUCAUUUCCUACUCAAGUUUACUGUAUCACUAGUCUGAAAACUAUUUUGUAGCCUGAUUAAUUAUGUAGUUUUAAGCCUCUGCUUAUCUAGGGAUAAUAUUUCUUGGCCUUAAUUCUGGGGCUGUAUUGUGAUUCACCUAAGACAGAAAGAAAGCAUAUAAAUAUUUUACAGUAGUAAUUUAGAAUACAUUAAUUGUUCAUGAUUUACUUUAUGAAGCCAAAAAUCCCCCCAAAUACAGAUUUUUAUGAAUGUGAGAUAUAACUGUAAGAAAUUUCCAUAUGAAGGCAUGAAAAAUAGUAUAAAGAACAGUUCCCUAUAGUGUGUGAUCUUCCAUAUUAUAAAAUCAAUUUGAGUGAGUUUUUAUAUGACAGAACUAGAAAUGGUCAAUUCAUUCCCUCUCUUUAGUGGUCACUGAGAGGCCUGUUUUCGCAGCACUGAAGAAGUGCUUUAAAUAAUAGAGGAUAUAAUGGUAUUGUCAUACAUUUCUUCCGUUUUAAAUACACUCCCUUAUUUAAAAGUUACUUGCAUGCAGACUGUUUUGGAACUAGAGUUUUGUAAUACAACUCAGCUAGAUUAAGAUAAGUUUGAGUUUGUGCAACGUGUAGUUUUGAUAUAAAAAGUCAUACAUUUUUUCUAGGAUAUCUUAUCAAAACCUAUACACUAGAGAACAUAGAUAAUUCUACUUAAUGUGAAACCCUUGUAUAUAACUUUAACUAGCAUCUUUAAUGCAAUGAAUCAUUUUACUACUAUAACUAGUAACUAGUUAUGUAGCAAGUCAAUUACAACAAAUUCUGCUACUAUUAAUCUAUCUCAUGAUGAAACCACCGUGAUUUCUUAAACAAAUAAAGGCUUUCAACAACAAAUAGUUUUUCAACAAUCUUAAUUUACAAAGAUAUUUUGCAUGUUUCUUUUAAAAAAUGGAAAAAAUAAUAAAAAGGGUAAAAGAUAAUGAAUCUUUUUACACGUCCGUUACUGUGAAAUGUUACUUACUAAGUAGAAUUUUUUUUAUGUUUGUAGACAUGAAAUAGUCUAACACUUCAGUUGCAAUCCUAAAAUUCCCAAAUACUAUUUUCUGUACUGUAUAGGAAAUAUAACAGCAGGUUAAAAAGGGCACCCUACAAAAUCUGCAGGGGAUUCCUGCAAGGAACAUGAUCAGAGAUACUCUUAAAUUUGGACAUAGCUAUGUGAUGGCAGACAUUUAUCAUUCAAAUAAACAUUGAAACGCUGUGUAUGUAGUUAUUUCCUCUUCUUGGUUAAGCAUAACCUAGAAAGUUUUCCUGUGCAUGUAAUCUUUAGUGUAACUAUCAUUUAGCAGUGUAAAGAGUAGUUCUCUGUACAGGCUCACUUGCAAAGCAAGAACAUUUGAGAUUCUGCCAUGCAGCAUUUAAAAACAUCUGAUUAGCAAGCAAAAUUCAGCAACCUUAUGCAGAGAUUCAGGUGACUUCCUGGGUGGGGUUUGUUUGGGUUUGUAUGUGUGUUGUGUAUGCUAACUGAUGAGCAAUGCACCUACCCAAAAUCUCCGCCUUCUGUUUAGAGAAGGAAAAUAAUUUCUAUGUACCUCAGUGGUUCUGAAAACAGCACACUGCCAUCGCAUUCUGCAUGAAGAAGUUUUAGAGCAGAAGCCAUCUUCUGAGAGCAUGUGAGAUCCAUUGCUGCCAUCACAGCAACACAGUAUGUGAUGGGGACUGUAAAGAGGAGGGGAAACUCUUGCUUUAGUGUUUAUGUUGCUUCAGAUCUUUGUUAAGCAUGCCUGCACAGCCAGCUAUUGUCACUACUGAAGAACAUGAAUAGUUGUAACAAUAGACAUAAUAAGGCUAGAUAGAUGGGAACUGAGGAUAAUCCAUAAUUGCAUUGCAUUUCCUUACUGUUUGGAACAGAGAGAACAAAAUAUGAAUCUACAGUCUCUUUACACAAAACAAACGAGAGUGUUUUUUUAGAACCUUUACCCCACAACAAAAUGUGUAGGAGGUCACAGGAGAUAGGAAGCUUCCUGGACGUACCUGAGUUCAUGAAAAAACUAGAGCCAGUGUAACUUCUGAUAAGGUAAUUCCAUGAAGCAUUCCAAGAUUAUCAGAAGGGUUGCACUAUAUCAUAAAAGAAAAAAAAUAGCAGGUAGAAUAUAGCAUGCAGAAGCAGUUUUCCAGCUCCUCCCACUGUAGCACGCAAGAGACACGGUUAUAGUUAACUUUGGAUAAUCAACCACUGUGAAACAGAAUGGAAAGGUUGUACAUUUGAGCAGCUUUUUCACUGUUUUUGCUCUGAAUGAUGAGGGUCUCGGAACCAAUACUAGACAUGGAAAUGGCAAACUACAGUGAAGUUUUAGAUCCAACGUACACCGCGCUGGAGUUUGAAACUAUGCAGAUUCUGUACAAUGGCAAUGGUGAGUUCUGCUCCAUGAUGCAAAAUCAUGCCAGUUAGUGGGAAAUGUGAAGUUUAUUAAUGUUUUAAGGUGUUAGCAAAAUGUUUUAUUAAUGGAAGAUUUAGUGAUUGUUUUCAAACUACAAAUCAUCUCUUUCACACUUCACCAUUAACUCUAAGUUAAUGACAUUAUAAUUCUUUAACAUUAAGAAAAAUAAAAAGAGUGGUUAUAUGUAAUAAAAUAACUGAGCUGUACUGUCAUCAGUCAGUUAAUCAAAGGAAGAAAAUGGUGUAUUCAGCAGUUGUUUUAUUUACUGUAAGACAAAUGAAUAACUAGUAUUGACAGUUGGGACAUGAAAGUAAAUGUUAUAUAUAGCAUUCAGAAGGACACGACAAGAUUAUCCAGGGGUUUGUGGAAAAAAAUAGCUACUGCUUCUUGAUGCCUAGUUUCUAUUCGUUGGACAACAUUUUAUUCAUUUCAGUGUUAAACUAAUUAUUCUAAACAUGUGUAUAUAUGAAUCAGGGUGAUUUUUUAAAAAUCAUGUUGGCUCUCUACAGGCUAAUGUUUAGCUGAGGAAAACUAUUGGCAUAAACUAUUGGCUAAUGGAGCGUUUUAA